Molecule: ribosomal RNA, 464 nt
Filed under: uncultured microorganism
Description: bacterial SSU rRNA
Rfam family: Bacterial small subunit ribosomal RNA
Source: RNAcentral
GAGUUUGAUCGUGGCUCAGAGCGAACGCUGGCGGCAGGCCUAACACAUGCAAGUCGAACGAACUCUUCGGAGUUAGUGGCGGACGGGUGAGUAACACGUGGGAACGUGCCUUUUGGUUCGGAAUAACUCAGGGAAACUUGUGCUAAUACCGAAUGUGCCCUUCGGGGAAGAUUUAUCGCCAUUAGAGCGGCCCGCGUCUGAUUAGCUAGUUGGUGAGGUAAAGGCUCACCAAGGCGACGAUCAGUAGCUGGUCUGAGAGGAUGAUCAGCCACAUUGGGACUGAGACACGGCCAAACUCCUACGGGAGGCAGCAGUGGGGAAUCUUGCGCAAUGGGCGAAAGCCUGACGCAGCCAUGCCGCGUGAAUGAUGAAGGUCUUAGGAUUGUAAAAUUCUUUCACCGGGACGAUAAUGACGGUACCCGGAGAAGAAGCCCGGCUAACUUCGUGACAGCAGCCGCAGUAAC